Molecule: ribosomal RNA, 496 nt
Filed under: uncultured bacterium
Lineage: Bacteria
Description: partial 16S ribosomal RNA
Rfam family: Bacterial small subunit ribosomal RNA
Source: RNAcentral
ACGCACGCUGGCGGCGUGCCUAAUACCUGCAAGUAGCACGCGGAAGAGAGGAGCUUACUCUUCUUGGAUGAGUGGCGAACGGGGGAGUAACGCGUAGGUAACCUGCCUUGUAGCGGGGGAAAACUAUUGGAAACGAUAGCUAAUACCGCAUAACAAUGGAUGACACAUGUCAUUUAUUUGAAAGGGGCAAUUGCUCCACUACAAGAUGGACCUGCGUUGUAUUAGCUAGUAGGUGGGGUAAUGGCUCACCUAGGCGACGAUAGAUAGCCGACCUGAGAGGGUGAUCAGCCACACUGGGACUGUGACACGGCCCAGACUCCUACGGGAGGCAGCAGUAGGGAAUCUUCGGCAAUGGGGGCAACCCUGACCGAGCAACGCCGCGUGAGUGAAGAAGGUUUUCGGAUCGUAAAGCUCUGUUGUAAGUCAAGAACGGGUGUGAGAGUGGAAAGUUCACACUGUGACGGUAGCUUACCAGAAAGGGACGGCUAACUACGUG